Molecule: long non-coding RNA, 100 nt
Organism: Neltuma alba
Lineage: Eukaryota; Viridiplantae; Streptophyta; Magnoliopsida; Fabales; Fabaceae
Exons: 3
Source: RefSeq, a predicted model, not a curated record
UCUAACAGUCUUACUGGGAUUGUUCCGUCCCAAAUAGGAGCUCUUCAAAAUCUUACUUCUCUGGACUUGUCUUCUAACAGUCUUACUGGGAUUAUUCCAU